RNAcentral lists this transfer RNA (72 nucleotides) under Bos taurus (domestic cattle). It matches the Rfam family "tRNA". Rfam says of the family: Transfer RNA (tRNA) molecules are approximately 80 nucleotides in length. Their secondary structure includes four short double-helical elements and three loops (D, anti-codon, and T loops). The record is from Rfam by way of RNAcentral. Lineage: Eukaryota; Metazoa; Chordata; Mammalia; Artiodactyla; Bovidae. RNAcentral also lists the same sequence under 2 other names.
UCCUUGUUGGCUCAGAUGGUAAAGAAUCUGCCUGCAAUGUAGGAGACCCAGGUUCAAUCCCUGGAUCCGGAC